GACGAACGCUGGCGGCGUGCUUAACACAUGCAAGUCGAACGGAAAGGCCCUGCUUGCAGGGUACUCGAGUGGCGAACGGGUGAGUAACACGUGGGUGAUCUGCCCUGCACUUCGGGAUAAGCUUGGGAAACUGGGUCUAAUACCGGAUAGGACCGCACUUUAGUGGGUGUGGUGGAAAGUUUUUUCGGUGUAGGAUGAGCUCGCGGCCUAUCAGCUUGUUGGUGGGGUAAUGGCCUACCAAGGCGGCGACGGGUGGCCGGCCUGAGAGGGUGUACGGCCACCCUGGCACUGAGAUGCGGCCCCGACUGCUACGGGAGGCAGCAGUGGGGAAUAUUGCACAAGGGGCGCCAGGCUGAUGCAGCGACGCCGCGUGUGGGAUGAAGGCCUUCUGGUUGUAAACUCCUUUCGCUAGGGACGAAGCUUUUUGUGACGGUACCUAGACAAGAAGCACCGGCUAACUACGUG
RNAcentral lists this ribosomal RNA (465 nucleotides) under uncultured bacterium. Its description in RNAcentral is "partial 16S ribosomal RNA". It matches the Rfam family "Bacterial small subunit ribosomal RNA", at positions 28 to 507 of the family's 1533-position model. The record is from RNAcentral.